UCACUACUUGCGUAGGCAGUCUGGCUAGAGUCCCCACCAUCACGUGCUGGUAACUAACCACAGGGGUUGCGCUCGUUGCGCCACUUAAGGCAACACCUCACGGCACGAGCUGACGACAGCCAUGCAGCACCUUCCCAAAUGCCCCGAAGGGACACCCCGUUUCCGGGGCCGUCAUCUGGGAUUUAGCCCAGGUAAGGUUCUUCGCGUUGCAUCGAAUUAAGCCACAUGCUCCACCGCUUGUGCGGGCCCCCGUCAAUUCCUUUGAGUUUCAUUCUUGCGAACGUACUCCCCAGGUGGUGUGCUUACUGCGUUAACUGCGUCACUGACCCGGCUUGCGCCUAAGGCCAACAACUAGCACACAUCGUUUACAGCGUGGACUAC
RNAcentral lists this unclassified non-coding RNA (381 nucleotides) under uncultured Bacteroidota bacterium. RNAcentral's name for it is "uncultured Bacteroidetes bacterium contains 16S-23S intergenic spacer region". Lineage: Bacteria; Pseudomonadati; Bacteroidota. The record is from RNAcentral.